UUAUUCUUUUAAAGUUGUUCU
RNAcentral lists this non-coding RNA (21 nucleotides) under Caenorhabditis elegans. Lineage: Eukaryota; Metazoa; Nematoda; Chromadorea; Rhabditida; Rhabditidae. The record is from RNAcentral.